This 468-nucleotide ribosomal RNA is filed under the name uncultured bacterium. Its description in RNAcentral is "partial 16S ribosomal RNA". It matches the Rfam family "Bacterial small subunit ribosomal RNA", at positions 28 to 507 of the family's 1533-position model. The record is from RNAcentral.
GACGAACGCUGGCGGUGUGCUUAACACAUGCAAGUCGAACGGUAAGGCCCUUUCGGGGGUACACGAGUGGCGAACGGGUGAGUAACACGUGAGUAACCUGCCCUCAUCUCUGGGAUAACAGUCGGAAACGGUUGCUAAUACUGGAUAUGAGCUUGCAAGGCAUCUUGUGGGUUGGAAAGAUUUUUUUUGGUUGGGGAUGGACUCGCGGCCUAUCAGCUUGUUGGUGAGGUAGUGGCGCACCAAGGCUUCGACGGGUAGCCGGCCUGAGAGGGCGACCGGCCACAUUGGGACGGGGAUACGGCCCAAACUCCUACGGGAGGCAGCAGGAGUGAAUAUUGCACAAUGGACGGACGUCUGAUGCAGCAACGCCGCGUGCUGGAGGACGGCCUUCGGGGUGUAAACCGCUUUCAAUUGUGACGAAGCUUUUUUGUGACGGUAGCAUUAGAAGAAGCACCGGCUAACUCCGUG